This 2901-nucleotide ribosomal RNA is filed under the name Escherichia coli. RNAcentral's name for it is "23S ribosomal RNA". It matches the Rfam family "Bacterial large subunit ribosomal RNA". The record is from RNAcentral. Lineage: Bacteria; Pseudomonadati; Pseudomonadota; Gammaproteobacteria; Enterobacterales; Enterobacteriaceae.
UUAAGCGACUAAGCGUACACGGUGGAUGCCCUGGCAGUCAGAGGCGAUGAAGGACGUGCUAAUCUGCGAUAAGCGUCGGUAAGGUGAUAUGAACCGUUAUAACCGGCGAUUUCCGAAUGGGGAAACCCAGUGUGUUUCGACACACUAUCAUUAACUGAAUCCAUAGGUUAAUGAGGCGAACCGGGGGAACUGAAACAUCUAAGUACCCCGAGGAAAAGAAAUCAACCGAGAUUCCCCCAGUAGCGGCGAGCGAACGGGGAGCAGCCCAGAGCCUGAAUCAGUGUGUGUGUUAGUGGAAGCGUCUGGAAAGGCGCGCGAUACAGGGUGACAGCCCCGUACACAAAAAUGCACAUGCUGUGAGCUCGAUGAGUAGGGCGGGACACGUGGUAUCCUGUCUGAAUAUGGGGGGACCAUCCUCCAAGGCUAAAUACUCCUGACUGACCGAUAGUGAACCAGUACCGUGAGGGAAAGGCGAAAAGAACCCCGGCGAGGGGAGUGAAAAAGAACCUGAAACCGUGUACGUACAAGCAGUGGGAGCACGCUUAGGCGUGUGACUGCGUACCUUUUGUAUAAUGGGUCAGCGACUUAUAUUCUGUAGCAAGGUUAACCGAAUAGGGGAGCCGAAGGGAAACCGAGUCUUAACUGGGCGUUAAGUUGCAGGGUAUAGACCCGAAACCCGGUGAUCUAGCCAUGGGCAGGUUGAAGGUUGGGUAACACUAACUGGAGGACCGAACCGACUAAUGUUGAAAAAUUAGCGGAUGACUUGUGGCUGGGGGUGAAAGGCCAAUCAAACCGGGAGAUAGCUGGUUCUCCCCGAAAGCUAUUUAGGUAGCGCCUCGUGAAUUCAUCUCCGGGGGUAGAGCACUGUUUCGGCAAGGGGGUCAUCCCGACUUACCAACCCGAUGCAAACUGCGAAUACCGGAGAAUGUUAUCACGGGAGACACACGGCGGGUGCUAACGUCCGUCGUGAAGAGGGAAACAACCCAGACCGCCAGCUAAGGUCCCAAAGUCAUGGUUAAGUGGGAAACGAUGUGGGAAGGCCCAGACAGCCAGGAUGUUGGCUUAGAAGCAGCCAUCAUUUAAAGAAAGCGUAAUAGCUCACUGGUCGAGUCGGCCUGCGCGGAAGAUGUAACGGGGCUAAACCAUGCACCGAAGCUGCGGCAGCGACGCUUAUGCGUUGUUGGGUAGGGGAGCGUUCUGUAAGCCUGUGAAGGUGUGCUGUGAGGCAUGCUGGAGGUAUCAGAAGUGCGAAUGCUGACAUAAGUAACGAUAAAGCGGGUGAAAAGCCCGCUCGCCGGAAGACCAAGGGUUCCUGUCCAACGUUAAUCGGGGCAGGGUGAGUCGACCCCUAAGGCGAGGCCGAAAGGCGUAGUCGAUGGGAAACAGGUUAAUAUUCCUGUACUUGGUGUUACUGCGAAGGGGGGACGGAGAAGGCUAUGUUGGCCGGGCGACGGUUGUCCCGGUUUAAGCGUGUAGGCUGGUUUUCCAGGCAAAUCCGGAAAAUCAAGGCUGAGGCGUGAUGACGAGGCACUACGGUGCUGAAGCAACAAAUGCCCUGCUUCCAGGAAAAGCCUCUAAGCAUCAGGUAACAUCAAAUCGUACCCCAAACCGACACAGGUGGUCAGGUAGAGAAUACCAAGGCGCUUGAGAGAACUCGGGUGAAGGAACUAGGCAAAAUGGUGCCGUAACUUCGGGAGAAGGCACGCUGAUAUGUAGGUGAAGUCCCUCGCGGAUGGAGCUGAAAUCAGUCGAAGAUACCAGCUGGCUGCAACUGUUUAUUAAAAACACAGCACUGUGCAAACACGAAAGUGGACGUAUACGGUGUGACGCCUGCCCGGUGCCGGAAGGUUAAUUGAUGGGGUUAGCGCAAGCGAAGCUCUUGAUCGAAGCCCCGGUAAACGGCGGCCGUAACUAUAACGGUCCUAAGGUAGCGAAAUUCCUUGUCGGGUAAGUUCCGACCUGCACGAAUGGCGUAAUGAUGGCCAGGCUGUCUCCACCCGAGACUCAGUGAAAUUGAACUCGCUGUGAAGAUGCAGUGUACCCGCGGCAAGACGGAAAGACCCCGUGAACCUUUACUAUAGCUUGACACUGAACAUUGAGCCUUGAUGUGUAGGAUAGGUGGGAGGCUUUGAAGUGUGGACGCCAGUCUGCAUGGAGCCGACCUUGAAAUACCACCCUUUAAUGUUUGAUGUUCUAACGUUGACCCGUAAUCCGGGUUGCGGACAGUGUCUGGUGGGUAGUUUGACUGGGGCGGUCUCCUCCUAAAGAGUAACGGAGGAGCACGAAGGUUGGCUAAUCCUGGUCGGACAUCAGGAGGUUAGUGCAAUGGCAUAAGCCAGCUUGACUGCGAGCGUGACGGCGCGAGCAGGUGCGAAAGCAGGUCAUAGUGAUCCGGUGGUUCUGAAUGGAAGGGCCAUCGCUCAACGGAUAAAAGGUACUCCGGGGAUAACAGGCUGAUACCGCCCAAGAGUUCAUAUCGACGGCGGUGUUUGGCACCUCGAUGUCGGCUCAUCACAUCCUGGGGCUGAAGUAGGUCCCAAGGGUAUGGCUGUUCGCCAUUUAAAGUGGUACGCGAGCUGGGUUUAGAACGUCGUGAGACAGUUCGGUCCCUAUCUGCCGUGGGCGCUGGAGAACUGAGGGGGGCUGCUCCUAGUACGAGAGGACCGGAGUGGACGCAUCACUGGUGUUCGGGUUGUCAUGCCAAUGGCACUGCCCGGUAGCUAAAUGCGGAAGAGAUAAGUGCUGAAAGCAUCUAAGCACGAAACUUGCCCCGAGAUGAGUUCUCCCUGACUCCUUGAGAGUCCUGAAGGAACGUUGAAGACGACGACGUUGAUAGGCCGGGUGUGUAAGCGCAGCGAUGCGUUGAGCUAACCGGUACUAAUGAACCGUGAGGCUUAACCU